This 2216-nucleotide long non-coding RNA is filed under the name Dicentrarchus labrax (European seabass). Its description in RNAcentral is "lncRNA (ENSDLAG00005033056.1)". Lineage: Eukaryota; Metazoa; Chordata; Actinopteri; Moronidae. The record is from RNAcentral.
AUGGAUGGCAUCCUGCUUUCUCCUCAGCAUAGCUCACAGUUCCUCCCUGCUUGCACUCUCUCCUUGGAGGGAAAGUCAAAAGGUUUUUCAUUUAUCUCAGACCGAAGACGAAGCACAAAACACGACUCCCCUGAGAGACCCACGAGGAAACUGCGAACACCUUGCCCCAAAUAUCUGAUCUUGGAGGAGCAGAAAAUAGAAUGCACGUAUUUGUUUGCCGGGACGAAGACUUCCCUCAUUCCCCAGACGCUGCGUUGUCAUUGAACAUUUUGCCGCUGUGUGUUAGGCAUAUAAAAAUACAUUUCGAUUUUUAUUGGGGAAAGAAAACAUGUCUCAAGAACAAAAGAUAAUUGUAUUGAUUUGUUGAGCAUGUGGAACAGUUCAAAAUGUGUGUGUUGGUAAUGUUUUGAGCUCUGAGAAUCUGAAUGUGUAUUUUUAUGUGUGCAUGCAUGUGUGAGCAUUUGCGUACUAUCUGGAUUGCGUCAGCUUGUGUACUUUUUGUAUCGACCGAGUUCUCAUCAAUGCUGGGUUUCAGAUACAAAAUGGAUACCUGGGUUUUUAAACUUGAGUUUGAGAAGAAGCUUUGAGGUAUAAAAACUAAGAUGAAAGAUAAAUAGAUGCAGGCAAAAAGUUGUGAACUCAUUCAGAAGGUGUGUCUUAAAUUCUGUCAUGCUCAUUUGAUGGCCUCCUUAUUGUUUAGUACAUUUAAAGUCACUUAGUCUUGUUAAUGCACCAGUAUCGCUCUGCUCUUUCCUUGCAACCCAGUGAACGAACGCACAGUAGGGGACUUCAAUGCCAAUGCAUACAGUGGCUGCAUUUGCUCUUAUAAUACAAAUUAAGAUGGCCUUUCAUGGUUCCUUUCACCGCAGCAUUUCAUGGCUGCAUCUGAACAAAGUCACUGACAACAGUUAAUCAGAGUCAUUAAGAGGAACCAGUAAUGUCAGAUAUGGCUGAUGGCUCAAAGAAACGUUUCCUCAUCUAUAGGCAAUUAUUCUCUCUUUCUCUCUCUCUCUCUCUCUCUCUCUCUCUCUCUCUCUCUCUCUCUCUCUCUCUCUCUCUGUUUUGAAGCAAUGCUAAAUCAGAUAGAUUUGUGCAUUGAUAAAGGCAGCUACUGGACUGGAACAGUGUGAAUACAGUCCAUAAAAGAACCAGAGUAAAGAGCAAAAUAGUAAUUAUGCUCUCUUUCCUUUAUUGUAUAUUCAAUUUGACUCACUGCCUAUCAGUCUCAUUAUCUCUGUCACACACCACACAAAUAUGUAUGCAAUAAUAAUAAUGACAAAAGAGUGUGCAUCUGUCUCUUUCAUGGACAUUUGAUUUUAGUGCUGCUGAUUAUAUAACUACUACUGUACCUUGUUUUAUUUUUUAUUUAGUACCUGUUUUAUAUGUAAGUACAUGUAUUAUGCAUGUGCAUAUGCAUAUGUAUUACUUCCACAUACUUUUAUUUACAUAAUCUCUGUUGAAGUAGUUUUUUUUUCUGUGGACCCCAGUAAGAAGAAGAAGCUGGUAAAAGUUUAAAAAAGAGACCAUGUGCUCUAAAUGUGUCCAUUGCAGGUCAGAAUCAACCUUUAACUGAUUUUGUAUCUUUUUUUUGUCCAUGUUUUGCAAGAGACAUAAAAAUAACAAAUGAGCAAAAAAAGUGAGAAACUCCUUCCCUUCACUGUCUUUGUCUUUUGCCUGAAGGUAUGUUUGAUGCAGCAGCAAUGGCAGGCUCUUGUUGUGUCCAGUGAACACAAUGUGCAGUCUAACACAGUUGUCUCUGGCUUUCUGAGAUGUAGUCAUCUGAUGUAAAAACCAUUCUUAAUUCCAACCUCUACCAGCCCAUUCAAAUUUUUUUAUUUUUUUAUUUUUUUUUGUAGGAGGCGCUAAUCCCAAUUAAUACAUAUUUAAGAUUUGAACAGAUAACAAAGAGUGAUCACUACUACUUUCCCACCUCACCAUCUGUAAUAAAUUUUUCCUAAAUUUCAUUAAAGCAGCUGAUGCAAGACUGCAUAAUAAAAGCCUGCACAGAAAGCUAUAGUGCAACAAGUGUCAGAUGCCUGCAACCAUCAAUUUGUAGCAGAAAAAAUAUUUAGACACAGAUGGUAAUAGAAUAAUUGCUACAGAUGAGAAGUGCAAAAUCCUCCUGAGGUGCUUUUGGAGGAGAACCCUAGGGAGGCCAACUGUAUGGGGCAGACUGCCAACCUUCUUCCCAGGGAUGGUGACCUGCAGAGGGGAAG